AUGGAACAAUAUUGACAAACAUCUAUUCUAUGUGCCUUAUAAUGCAGUGCGCCUUAUAUAUGAAAAAAGUUUUAAAAUAGGCCAUUCAUUGAAGGUGCGCAUUAUAAUCCGGUGCGGCUUAUAGUGCGG
This is a long non-coding RNA of Poecilia latipinna (sailfin molly), 129 nucleotides long. RefSeq lists it as uncharacterized. NCBI's taxonomy places the organism in Eukaryota, Metazoa, Chordata, Actinopteri, Cyprinodontiformes, Poeciliidae. The transcript has 3 exons. The record is from RefSeq and is a predicted model, not a curated record.